UUUUUUUUUUCCCAAAAGAAAACAUUGUUAUUCAACCGAAGAAUAAUUUCCAAUGCUCAUGAAUAUAACUUGCCAUCCCAAAAGAAAACAUUGUUAUUCGACAGAAGAAUAAUUUCCAAUGCAUCUGCCUAUGAGAAAAGCUAGAACUCAGCCCCCCAAAAUUAAAGGUUAUUGGGCUGCAUCAGUCCAAAUUACAUGAGAAAUAAGAACCAUUGAUAUUCGCUCCAAACUCUGCCAAAUUUUAUAAUCUAUGGAACUAGCCUUAAAAAAACAAGGGCCAAUUCCAUCAAGCAGCUUUUGUUAAAAACAGCCACCAAACUA
RNAcentral lists this unclassified non-coding RNA (321 nucleotides) under Hevea brasiliensis (rubber tree). Lineage: Eukaryota; Viridiplantae; Streptophyta; Magnoliopsida; Malpighiales; Euphorbiaceae. The record is from RNAcentral.